RNAcentral lists this transfer-messenger RNA (337 nucleotides) under Lachnospira eligens. Its description in RNAcentral is "[Eubacterium] eligens transfer-messenger RNA". It matches the Rfam family "transfer-messenger RNA". From Rfam's summary of the family: Bacterial tmRNA, also known as 10Sa RNA or SsrA, is named for its dual tRNA and mRNA-like properties. Its role is to liberate the mRNA from a stalled ribosome. To accomplish this part of the tmRNA is used as a reading frame that ends in a translation stop signal. Lineage: Bacteria; Bacillati; Bacillota; Clostridia; Lachnospirales; Lachnospiraceae. The record is from RNAcentral. RNAcentral also lists the same sequence under 1 other name.
GGGCUAGUAAAGGUUUCGACGGGGAUCUUGAAGCUGGUGAAGCUAUCCGCAGGAAAGCGUCAAAUUCCAAACUUAAAUAUAAACGCUAACGAUAAUUUAGCAUACGCUGCCUAAUUGCAGCAGUCUGACUUAAAGCACCUACACUUUAAGACCCAGGCUUCGAACAUGUAGGAAACGACAGUAUCAAGCUUUGAGGUGCUGGUCGUAUCAUGAAGCUACUAAAGGUACAAGGGUGUUGAUUCCCGUGCACCGGAGGGAAUGUCAAAUAAUCAACUAUGAUAGUAGAAGAACAGGGAAUGGGUUUUCGGACAGGGGUUCGACUCCCUCUGGUCCAUAG